This 441-nucleotide ribosomal RNA is filed under the name uncultured bacterium. Its description in RNAcentral is "partial 16S ribosomal RNA". It matches the Rfam family "Bacterial small subunit ribosomal RNA", at positions 338 to 795 of the family's 1533-position model. The record is from RNAcentral.
CCUACGGGUGGCAGCAGUGGGGGAUAUUGCACAAUGGGGGAAACCCUGAUGCAGCGACGCCGCGUGGGUGAAGAAGUAUUUCGGUAUGUAAAGCCCUAUCAGCAGGGAAGAAAGAAGACGGUACCUGACUAAGAAGCCCCGGCUAACUACGUGCCAGCAGCCGCGGUAAUACGUAGGGGGCGAGCGUUAUCCGGAUGCACUGGGUGUAAAGGGAGCGUAGACGGCCGUGCAAGCCAGGAGUGAAAGCCCGGGGCCCAACCCCGGGACUGCUCGUGGGACUGUGCGGCUGGAGUGCGGGAGGGGCAGGCGGAAUUCCUGGGGUAGCGGUGAAAUGCGUAGAUAUCAGGAGGAACACCGGCGGCGAAGGCGGCCUGCUGGACCGCGACUGACGUUGAGGCUCGAAAGCGUGGGGAGCGAACAGGAUUAGAUACCCCUGUAGUC